AAAUUCCUCUAUAUAUGCAUUGCAGAUUCUCAAUGCAAAGCAAAGCACUGGACCUGCCGCUUUCUGUUGCAGAAGAGCAAUUGGGCACUGCACAAAUGGCACUACCAAGCUAGCAUUCAGGCUCAACUCAACUGGGGGUGAGUUUUGGACUAGUUCGGCGUCCGCCUACGGCUACGUGACAUGGAUGGCCGUUUAAAAUUGACACCUUUUGCUUGCUGAAUGGGGGUUUGCAUCUUUGCAAGUAGGCAACUUGCAAUGUAAGAAGACAUCAAAUUCGGUUGUGAAAUUCAGUGACCUUGGCAUGCAUCGUCACUGGUUAGCUAUCUAUGUUAUUGUUAGCUGCUGCACGCCUCCCGGCCCAGAGCUGGAAAAACUUACCGCAGCAUUGCAAGUUUGCAACAGAAUUCUCACAUGCUACAAAGCAAUUAUGCACUGCAGCCAAGUGGUACUGGUUCUACACAUCAAGCUGUAGUCUAGGCAUCAUAGCUGCAAGGACAGGUCACUUAUACUCACUUGUGCUGGUCAAAGAUCCUCAAGGGGAUCGACUGAAUCCUGCCUCAUCAGAUCUGGAUGGUUACUGCAUCAAUGCUUCCCAGAAGCAUUCGGCACUGUUACAGUACAUCAAGUUGGAUGUAGGUGAAAGAGGAAUCUACGGUUGAUAGUUUGGCUACCUAAAUCUUUUAGCCUUAACGCUGAGUGCAGCAAGAUCAUGGAGCUCGGCCAACCAUUUUAAAGCUCUCCAAAAUCCAGCAAAACUUACCCAACAGGUUCAUGAACCAGAUACUAAUUGCAAGUAAAAACUGGUCAAAACUCAAAAGCAGAUCAAAGCUUGGCUCAGGACAGUCCAUUUCAGGCUUGUCAUGUGUCAGGUAUCUUUCUAGUGCGCAGGUGCGUGUCAUCUUCAGAGUUCAGAGCACAGAAGAUCAACAAGGGGGUCUGCUAGAUGAGCCAAUUAGCCUGGCCUUUCACUUGGAUUAGCUUUUGAGUUGACGAGGCUAAAAAAAAUUGUAGCUGACUGAAACUUUCACUUUCAAGGAGUUGGUUCAAACUAAGCUUUAGCUAAUGAACAGCUGAUUGGUGCUUACUGGGUGUUAAUAUAUGAGUAGAUUGCCUGUGCUGUAAUGCAUUGUCAUAACUCGAGGCAGCUUUACAUUAGAAGAACAGUGCUGAAUUCAGCUGGUGAUCUCUAAACCUUUUGAUCAAGGCAUUGCAUGCACCGACUGAAAGUCUGAAAUCCAAACUAAUCUAGUACCAUUUGGUGUCUCUUUUAAACAUGA
This is a non-coding RNA of Oryza sativa Japonica Group (Japanese rice), 1277 nucleotides long. Lineage: Eukaryota; Viridiplantae; Streptophyta; Magnoliopsida; Poales; Poaceae. The record is from RefSeq and is a predicted model, not a curated record.